Molecule: ribosomal RNA, 253 nt
Filed under: uncultured bacterium
Lineage: Bacteria
Description: partial 16S ribosomal RNA
Rfam family: Bacterial small subunit ribosomal RNA
Source: RNAcentral
UACAGAGGUCCCAAGCGUUGUUCGGAUUCACUGGGCGUAAAGGGUGCGUAGGCGGUCGAGUAAGUCUGACGUGAAAUCUCCGGGCCUAACCCGGAAACUGCGUUGGAAACUACUUGGCUAGAGGAAUGGAGGGGAGACUGGAAUACUUGGUGUAGCAGUGAAAUGCGUAGAUAUCAAGUGGAACACCAGUGGCGAAGGCGAGUCUCUGGACAUUUCCUGACGCUGAGGCACGAAAGCCAGGGGAGCAAACAGG